RNAcentral lists this ribosomal RNA (493 nucleotides) under Staphylococcus capitis. RNAcentral describes it as "bacterial SSU rRNA". The record is from RNAcentral. Lineage: Bacteria; Bacillati; Bacillota; Bacilli; Caryophanales; Staphylococcaceae.
AUGAACGCUGGCGGCGUGCCUAAUACAUGCAAGUCGAGCGAACAGACGAGGAGCUUGCUCCUYUGACGUUAGCGGCGGACGGGUGAGUAACACGUGGAUAACCUACCUAUAAGACUGGGAUAACUUCGGGAAACCGGAGCUAAUACCGGAUAACAUGUUGAACCGCAUGGUUCAACAGUGAAAGACGGUCUUGCUGUCACUUAUAGAUGGAUCCGCGCCGCAUUAGCUAGUUGGUAAGGUAACGGCUUACCAAGGCAACGAUGCGUAGCCGACCUGAGAGGGUGAUCGGCCACACUGGAACUGAGACACGGUCCAGACUCCUACGGGAGGCAGCAGUAGGGAAUCUUCCGCAAUGGGCGAAAGCCUGACGGAGCAACGCCGCGUGAGUGAAGAAGGUCUUCGGAUCGUAAAACUCUGUUAUUAGGGAAGAACAAAUGUGUAAGUAACUAUGCACGUCUUGACGGUACCUAAUCAGAAAGCCACGGCUAACUAC